GUGACCUACGGGACGCAGCAGUGGGGAAUAUUGCGCAAUGGGGGAAACCCUGACGCAGCAACGCCGCGUGUGGGAUGAAGGCCUUCGGGUAGUAAACCGCUUUCAGCAGGGAAGAUCCAAGACGGUACCUGCAGAAGAAGCCCCGGCUAACUACGUGCCAGCAGCCGCGGUAAUACGUAGGGGGCAAGCGUUAUCCGGAUUCAUUGGGCGUAAAGCGCGCGCAGGCGGGUUGCUAAGCGG
This 240-nucleotide ribosomal RNA is filed under the name uncultured bacterium. Its description in RNAcentral is "partial 16S ribosomal RNA". It matches the Rfam family "Bacterial small subunit ribosomal RNA", at positions 334 to 590 of the family's 1533-position model. The record is from RNAcentral.